CAACUAACCACUGUCUUCACUAACUCCAGUUCCAGGGGAUCUGAUGCCCUCUUCUGACCUCUGCAGCUCCAGGGAUACCAGGGUGCAGGAAUGUGAGGCUCCUCCAGAGAUCCUGCUCCAUGUGUCCCAGCAAAAGGGCCCUCUCCAGACCAAUGGAGCCAACUGCACUAAAGAACACUCAGUGCUUUGCUCAAUGAGGGUGGCAAAGCAGGUCAGUCUUGUUCCUGAUCUGAGGUGAAGCUUUCAGUCUCAUAUUAUGCUGCUAGCUCUGCCUGCCUGAUGCUGAUUGAGAAAGUUUCUUUUUCAUCACACCUAUCCUGAAAGGCUGCUGAAUUUUGUCCAACACCUUUUCUCUAUCUCGGGGUUAUGUUUUUCUCUUAACAGAAUGUGUUACAUUAUUAGUUUUCACAGCUCAAACCAUGGUUGGUUUCUAGGAAACACAGCCUCUGUGGUAGGUACUUCUCUACCCAGGCCACAGACACAGCUGGAAACCCAACUACUGAAUUCAUUGCCUUAGCAAAACAGGCUGCCCACAGCUUCAGUUAAGAGACUUGGGGGGUGGGGGUGCAGCAUGAGGGGUACUGGGGAUGGAACCCAGGGCCUUGUGCAUAUUGGGUAAGUGCUCUGUCACAGAGCUUCCCUGAAAGGCAGACUAGGGAUUUUCUCUGGGCUUCACCUUUUGUCUUCUGGCCUAUAAGAAAGAGUCAUAAUCAACCAAUGGACCUAAACUAAACCCUAAGAAGUAAACAAAACUCCAGGACUAGUUUCUUUUGCUGGAACUCCAGCAAAAAUACAUUUAGGAACUGGGGUAGAGCUCAAUGGCACAGCAUGUGCUUAGGGAAAAAUGUAUUCCUAGCAAAUGAGAACAUUUUGAAUCCUAUAAGCUGAGGCACUUCUGCAGAAGGGGCAGAGAAGGGUAAUGUGAAGAAAACACUGAGCCUCUUUUGAAGAGGCAGUUAUAGGCUCCCCAGUAACCCUGGCAGAAGCCAUACCCACAAACCAAGUGACAGGAAAUACCUGCUGCACUCAACUUUCUUAUGGCAAUCACACUAAUUGUGUGGUUUUUGUUUGAUGCUGAAUAGAAUCCAGGGCUCCACUAGGCAAGUGCUGAGCCUCCAAGCCAUACUCCAGCACCCCCACCUCAAUUUAAAUAAAUGCAGUGGGAGCUUAAUGAUAGGGAAAAAAAACUUAAAAACCAGAAAAGCUCAGGUAUGUGGUCAGAAGUAUUUUUCCCCAAUCUUUCCAACAGUAAAAUAACAAUUGGACGCAUGUAGGGGAAGUUUUUCUAUUCGUGUGUUUGAAAGCCCAGACAUGUUCCAUGUUUGUGCAGUCCCCACAGAAGCAAGAAGAGGGCAUUAGAUCCCCUGGAACUGCAGUUACAAUCUUUUGUAAGCUGCCAUGUAGGUGUUGGGAACUGAACCUGGAUCCUUUGCAAGAGCAGUUAAGUGCAUUUAACAGCUAAGCCAUCUCUCUGGCUCCAUAUUUGCUAUUUGAUUUUCUUUAAAUGAUAGGUUUCACAAAACUAGCCCUGAACUCCCCCAUCCUCCUGCCUCAGCCUCCCCAGUCUCCCACCAUGCCUGGCUUUGGGGAAAUUAUUUUCAUCAGUUCAACUCUGGCUAUACUAGAAUGACCUGAAAAAAGAGAUCUUAAUCUUUUCCUUUCUUAACAGACAUCUGAUCCCACUAUGUUGUCCUGACUGGCCCCAAAUGCCUAGGCUCAAGUGAUCCUCCUGCCUGAGCCUCCUGAGCAUCUGAUUAUAGGUGUUUCACUAUGCCCCCAAAAGUAUAUUUUCUCUCUCUCAGAGAUAGGGUCUCCCCAGCUGGCCUUGAUCUUGCUGUGUAGACCAAGCUGCCCUUGAUUUCACGGAGAUCUGCUGGGAUUAAAGAGUGUGUCACCAUGCAUGGCUAAAAAGAGAUGAUUUUUCUGGUCUUUUUUGAGACAGGAUCUCCCUGUAGCCCCAGGUGGUCUGGAACUCCCUAUGUACACCACGCUGGCCUCAACCUCACAGAUAUCUGCCUGCCUCUGCCUCCAGAGUGCUGGGAUUAAGGGUGUGUGUCAGCACACCCAGGUAAAAAGUGUCAAGACCCAACAGGAAGAAAGCAAAGCAACAGGAGUCUGAAAAGUAGAAGCAAUGUGCGAUUUGCGGGGCUUGGUUAGCAAAGACCCAGUGGAUGCUCUGGCAGAAUCAGCACUGUUUUUGUAAAGUGGCUUCUAGGUGGUGGCUCUUCAGUCCUAGCUUGUACACCAUAUGUAUUUCUGGACACCAGUCCCUGCUCCAGGAGAGCAUCUGUGAAAAAUGAGAACUGCAUAUUGCAGUUAGCUUUAAGUCAAUGGCACACAGUCAUUUCUAUGGUUGUACCUGAAACAGGAAAUGGCCCAAGGUACCAAGCAAUUUGGGACUGCUCCUCCUAUGGAACAUGUUUUCUCCAUUCCAUGUCCCACCAGUAUUGAUGAAAGGCAAAGACUCACACUAAGGGCAGAUACUCUAGGGUGAGGUAUGAAGACCUCUCUCUUCUGAACACCAUGACCAAAAAAUGUUCUCAGACGGCCACGAGUCUGCAAGAAACAAAAAAACAGGGCAGCUUUUCUUUGUUCUUGUUAAAUUUUAUUGGCAUCACGUUCAUCUCUUUACAGAAGAACUCAGCCCACACCCUAGAAUGUAGACCUCUUGAGGGGGAAGUGCUCCAGGAAGCAAGCAGGUCCUUGGGAGGGGGCAGAACUGCCAGGGCUCAACCCAAGAGACAGGUGGGUUAGUGCUGGGCCACACUGGGUGGAGUGGGUAAAGGAGAAGGGGUCUGCUAGCCUAAGGGUACCACAACCCUGAAAGGAGCGCCUUCUAGAACAAAGGUAGAGUCACUAGGACAGGUCUGCUGGGGUUGUCCUUUCCUCUUAAGAGUAGGAUGCUGUUCUAACAGGAAUUGUAAAGUGUUGAAUGGAAAGGAAAAAAAAAAAAAAAAAAAAAAA
Molecule: long non-coding RNA, 2964 nt
Organism: Nannospalax galili (Upper Galilee mountains blind mole rat)
Lineage: Eukaryota; Metazoa; Chordata; Mammalia; Rodentia; Spalacidae
Exons: 3
Source: RefSeq, a predicted model, not a curated record